Molecule: unclassified non-coding RNA, 402 nt
Filed under: Hevea brasiliensis (rubber tree)
Lineage: Eukaryota; Viridiplantae; Streptophyta; Magnoliopsida; Malpighiales; Euphorbiaceae
Source: RNAcentral
UGGUACUUGUAAAUAUUCUCAAACUUCUCCUUGCAUUUCUUGGCACUUCGGUUAUAUCCAAGCUCACUUAAUUUCCUGGAAACCUCAUCCCAAAGAGGAGCCUUGAGUCCGGCCUCCCUAAAUGCAGCGUCCAUAUCAGACCUUAUCGUCAACAGCCAAAGUUUCUUGCUGUGGCCACCGGCUACCAAUUAAGUACUUGUCGCCUUCUUCACCGCGACCUUCCUCAUUCCCUCGGUUGCCGGCGGCGGCGCCAGAAUUUUCCGGUAUGGUUGAAAUUUCCAUGACCCAGGAAAAAGAAGUUACAGCCAAGAAAAUUUUGGGAUAAGAAAGUUUAAAUUCUCUCUAGGGUUUGGGUUAUUAUUUUUAUUAUUAUUAUUAUUCUUAUUUAAAGAUACAUUUGGC